CCGAAUUGUUAACACGAGUUGUUGCUGGUCCUCAAACGGGGGCAUGUGCACGCUCCGUUUACACAUCCACCCACACCUGUGCACCCUCUGUAGUUCUAUGGCGUGGGGGACUCUGUCCUCCUGUUGUGGUCCUACAUUCUUUACACACACUCUGUAACAAAGUCUUAUGGAAUGCAUGACGCGUUUAACGCAAUACAAUA
This 200-nucleotide unclassified non-coding RNA is filed under the name uncultured Tomentella. RNAcentral's name for it is "sequence contains ITS1". Lineage: Eukaryota; Fungi; Basidiomycota; Agaricomycetes; Thelephorales; Thelephoraceae. The record is from RNAcentral.